This 514-nucleotide ribosomal RNA is filed under the name uncultured bacterium. RNAcentral's name for it is "partial 16S ribosomal RNA". It matches the Rfam family "Bacterial small subunit ribosomal RNA", at positions 28 to 523 of the family's 1533-position model. The record is from RNAcentral.
GACGAACGCUGGCGGCGUGCCUAACACAUGCAAGUCGAACGGAGAAUUAGCAAUAAUUCUUAGUGGCGAACGGGUGAGUAACGCGUAGACAACCUACCCUUUAGAUGGGGACAACACCGCGAAAGUGGUGCUAAUACCGAAUAUUGCUUGAGAAGCGCAUGCUUCUCAAACUAAAGAUGGCCUCUAUUUAUAAGCUAUCGCUAAAGAAUGGGUCUGCGUCUGAUUAGCUAGUUGGUGAGAUAAAAGCUCACCAAGGCAACGAUCAGUAGCCGGUCUGAGAGGAUGAACGGCCACACUGGGACUGAGACACGGCCCAGACUCCUACGGGAGGCAGCAGUGGGGAAUCUUCCGCAAUGGACGAAAGUCUGACGGAGCAACGCCGCGUGAGUGAUGAAGGUUUUCGGAUCGUAAAACUCUGUUGUUAAGGACGAAUGUAUAGAUUGUGAAUAAUGGUUUAUAAUGACGGUACUUAACGAGGAAGCCACGGCUAACUACGUGCCAGCAGCCGCGGUAA